ACAGUUUAGAGUAGGUCCAGUAUUCUUAAUGGUAUUGUAGAAGAACAGUAAUCUGUGGUCUAACUGUGGGUUUGUCUGCUGCAGUAUCGUAACACCAACUAAUUGAGUGUCUUACCAAGGCACAUCACCUCUGUAAGCUUCCACUGUAACAGCUUUUAAAUUGCAUACUUUCCUUUUCCUUAAUGAGAGUGAGUGGGUGAAGAAGAGGAGGCAGUCAAAAUGAAUAUCUGUGGCGCCAGGAGUUGUAUGUCACUGUCUGUGAGGGAGAUGUCUCAGUUUGUAAAAGGCUCCUUGUUCAGUGAACUCUGGAAAUUGGGAGGGGAACAAGCUACUGCUUUGUUUUCUGUUUACACCCUGACAUUUAUAAACAAGCGAAAAAUGCAGCCCACUUGUGGAAUAGACAGUAUUCUGCUACUUGGCAAGAAAUAACCCAGUUCAUCAUGAAGACAUGGUAAUAACGUGAGCCAAAUUUCACUCAGACUGCCCUGAAUGUUAACACCUGCAG
RNAcentral lists this long non-coding RNA (505 nucleotides) under Gopherus agassizii (Agassiz's desert tortoise). Its description in RNAcentral is "lncRNA (ENSGAGG00000023563.1)". The record is from RNAcentral. Lineage: Eukaryota; Metazoa; Chordata; Testudines; Testudinidae.